This is a long non-coding RNA of Equus caballus (horse), 3142 nucleotides long. Lineage: Eukaryota; Metazoa; Chordata; Mammalia; Perissodactyla; Equidae. The record is from Ensembl.
GGAAGGAGAAUUCUGCUGGGGUAUUUGGGUAAGACUUUCCACCCUGAAUAAUGAGAUAUUAAGAAAAGAAAACUUCUUGAUGACCCCUUGCUUCUUGCUCAGGCCAUUAUCAUGGGAUGAUGUGAUGUUUGGAACAGAGACAGCCGUCUUGUGAACAUGAGGGCAGACAUCUCUCACUCUGAAGAUGACAGAUGAAAAGGAAGGAACGUGCCUGAGUCUUUGAUGCUACCUCAAGCUGCCCAACAAACCCCGAGACUGCCUGACAACAGGAUUUUUAUUAAGUCUCACUUCCAGGUGCUGCACAUGCCUCUGAAACAUGACUUCUGCCCUGACCAUGUCCCUGAAGCUGGACUCACCAAGGUCACCAACGGCCUCCUGGAAUUGGAUCAUGCAAUUAUGGAGACUGACAAGUCCCAGGAUCUGCAAGGUGAACGGGCAAGCUGGAGACCCAGGAGAACCAGUGGUAUCAUUCCAGUCUGAGUCCAAUAGCUUGAAAACCAACAGGACUGAUGGUGUAAUUCCAGUUGAAAGGCCAAGAAGUUCAUGACCCAGAAAGAGGGAUGUUUCAGCUUGAGUCCAAAGGAAAGAAAAAGUCGAUGUCCCAGUUCGAAGGCCAUUAAGCAGAAGGAAUUCUCUCUGACUCAGAGAAAACCAGCUGUUUUGUUUUACACAGGCUUUCAGCUGAUCAGAUGAGGCCCACCACAUUGGGAGGGCAAUCUGCUCGACUCAGUCUACCAAUAAAGCUGUUAAUCUCAUCCAGAAACACCCAGAAGAAUGUUUGACCAAAUAUCCAGGCAUCCUGUGGUCCAGUCAAGUUGACAUAUAAAAUUAAUCAUCAUGGCUUCUAAGCUUUUGGGUGGUUUGUUAGGCACCAAUAGGUGACAGAAAAAAAUGUACUCCUUAUGCAGUAAGAUACAAGACUGACCUGUAUAAUACAGACUCAAAUCUACUCCUUUAGAAUAUGAUGUGCUUUAAGAAGUGACAUUAUCACUCAUCUAGUACUCAAAUCUCAAAUCUAAGAUUAUCUAGAAUAAUAGUUUUCCUUCAUUUGCACUUGAUCACCAACAAUUUUUAAUUCUGCCUCCUAAUUAAUUUCAAGACUCUUCAAUAUCACUUCACUGCCUUUGGUAGGACAAAACUAGCACUUGAUCACCAACACUUUUUAAUUCUGCCUCCUAAUUAAUUUCAAAAGACUCUUCGAUAUCACUUUACUGCCUUUGGUAGGACAAAACUAGCAAACACCUGGUCCUGUGUUGUCAUUCCACCCUUCAGUGACCAUGGUGAACAUGGCCAAUCCAUCAAGGCUCUGUGUUCAGCUCCCCCAGGAAAGUGGCCACAUAAUUCUCCUCAACACCCCACUCCAGGCAUUUACUGCAAUUCAAUCACAGUGUGCAAGCUAUUUGCUAUCCCUGUUCUAGACCCUCCUGAUUUAUCACUUAUAUUAAGCCAAAAGCCAUUUUGCUGGUUACACCAACCUCCCCUACCAUUACCCAAAUCAAUUUGUCUUCCACCUGUUUAGAAGGAUCACCAAAUGUAUCUUUCUAAAAUGCAUUUAACAUUGUUUCGGUUGCCAACCUGUGCUCACCCUAGGCCUCAGAGGUGUCUGGGUGUGUGAAAGUUAAAUUGGUUGCAAAGAUGGCUCCGAUUCUCUGCCCUUCCCUGUUUCCAUGUCCCUUGUGAUGUGAUUUUGCAGCUCCUACCAUCAAGAGAUCAAGGCUAUUUCUUUACCCCUUGAAUCUGGGCUGGCCUGGUGACUGACUUUGAACAGUAGAAGAGACGUUGUGGAGAUUCUGACCCUGGGCCUCAAGAGGCUUUAAGCGUGUGCUCUCCCUCUUGGAACCCUCCCACUGCUAGGACAACAAACCUGAGCUUGCCCACGGGAGGAUGAGAGAUGACAUGAAAUGGAGCCACAUCUCUUAAGCUAAGCCCCUAAGACGGGUCACAGAGCACAGCCAAGCUGACCACAGUUAGAUCUGCAAGUCAUAGCCACUCAGGUGACCCAUAGACUUGAGAGGCUUUGUGGUUAUUUGCUACACAGUAUUUCAUGACAGUAUGUAAUUGAUACAAUGUUUAUAUGAAGGACCUGUGAAGCAGGCCCAUCACAGCUCUAUUUGCAUGAGAAAUUAAAGAAAUACCACAAGAGAACUCAGGCAAUGGAGUCAAGGAACCAAAUAUAAUAGCCAGUAAAUCUAUGGGUGGCUAUUGUAGGAAAACCUUUACAAGGCUCUAAGAACACAAAGGGGCACCUGCAGACCCAGCAAUGCUGGUGCCAGCACUUUCAUCACUGGUGGGAGACAAAGCCUGCAUCAGCAUCUGAGUAUCCCCAGAAUCUUCAAAGGGCAUUUGCCAGCAUCAGCAGCCUCAGCAGCUGACAUCCCUGCAGGGAACCGAAGCAGGGAAAAAUGGUAGACACCACAUCGUAGCUAAGAAGAUUGUGAUUGUGAGAACCUUUGAGAUGCCCCUCGGGGACUGCCAGAAAUAAAAGAAGGCACCUUGAAAGGUCCUGCCAAAGAAAGAAUGCUUUGUGAUAACGCUUUUGACUCUAUCUUACCCCGCAACCUGGUGUGGACUUGGGAAAAUAAUUUAUAAAAGUCUAAAAUUGUUCAAAAUCCUCCUUUGCCCUCAAAAAACUAAAACUGGUUAACACUGAAAUCCAAGCUCAUUCAUCUCUCACCUCAUGUGUAUGUAUAUCCACGCAUUCCCACACACAGUUUCCACCUGCAUCAUUUCUAUUCCUUUCUAUCUUCUCCCUACUCUCCCCACACCUCUUAGAUCUUACGGUUUCUCAUUCCCUGCCACAUCAACUCGAGAGGCGAGUUCCUCUCUCUGAAACAAAGUUGACCUCCCUAUAGGACACUCAGGAUAUUAUGCAAGGAGUAGAAGCCGCAUUUUCUUCAAGCUACAAUGUAAACAAGGCAAAGAUGGUCCCGUCCCUCCAGCAGCAGCAGUAAAAUGAAACUUGCAGUAGAAUGCAAAAAAAUGGCCACAAAUUCAUUGCAGACCCUGCCUUUAAGAGUGAAGUCUAUUUCUCCACUCCCUGAAUCUGGACUUGGCCAUGUGAUUUGCUUUGGCCAAUGGGAUGUAAGCAUACGUAAGGCAAAGAGAGGCUAGAAAAGUGCUUGCACAUUGAGGCUUGCUCUUU